Molecule: transfer RNA, 85 nt
Filed under: Acinetobacter baumannii 44298_7
Lineage: Bacteria; Pseudomonadati; Pseudomonadota; Gammaproteobacteria; Moraxellales; Moraxellaceae
Description: tRNA-Leu
Rfam family: tRNA
About the family: Transfer RNA (tRNA) molecules are approximately 80 nucleotides in length. Their secondary structure includes four short double-helical elements and three loops (D, anti-codon, and T loops). Further hydrogen bonds mediate the characteristic L-shaped molecular structure. tRNAs have two regions of fundamental functional importance: the anti-codon, which is responsible for specific mRNA codon recognition, and the 3' end, to which the tRNAs corresponding amino acid is attached (by aminoacyl-tRNA synthetases). tRNAs cope with the degeneracy of the genetic code in two manners: having more than one tRNA (with a specific anti-codon) for a particular amino acid; and 'wobble' base-pairing, i.e. permitting non-standard base-pairing at the 3rd anti-codon position.
Source: RNAcentral
GGGGGCGUGGCAAAAUUGGUAGACGCACUGGAUUUAGGUUCCAGCGCCGCAAGGUGUAAGAGUUCGAGUCUCUUCGCCCCCACCA